Molecule: ribosomal RNA, 270 nt
Filed under: Triticum aestivum (bread wheat)
Lineage: Eukaryota; Viridiplantae; Streptophyta; Magnoliopsida; Poales; Poaceae
Description: partial small subunit ribosomal RNA
Source: RNAcentral
AUGUCACUGACUGAAUCGGUGUGGCCAUUCUUGCUAAAAAGAAGACAAUAUCCUAUAUCGGUGUGCUUUGGUAUGACAAUCAACAAGAGUCAAGGGCAAUCUCUAAACAAAGUAGGACUAUAUCUGUGAAAACAAGUUUACAUGCACGGACAACUAUAUGUGGCUAUCCCAAGAGUCACACAAAGAGAUGGUCUACGGAUAAUUGUAGAUGAUGAAGAAACCAACAAAGAUGGUAUGAUCAAGAACAUAGUGUACAAAGAUUUUUUUUGA